This 1335-nucleotide ribosomal RNA is filed under the name Triticum aestivum (bread wheat). RNAcentral describes it as "partial small subunit ribosomal RNA". Lineage: Eukaryota; Viridiplantae; Streptophyta; Magnoliopsida; Poales; Poaceae. The record is from RNAcentral.
AUGUCGGGCGUGGAAGAGAAGCCGGAGGAGAAUCUGCGUUCGAACCUUGCCCUCACAGCUCUUAGCAUCGUUCGUAACCACCAGUACUUAAAGGAGCUCGCUAUGAAGCAGCUCACGUUCCCCGAACUGGUGUGGAGCACGGACAAGAAUGAACUGGCCGCAAUGCACAAGGAAAAGGUCGAGGCGCUCACGGUCCACGACCCCAAGAGGCAGGCCCUCGUCGCCGGCCGCUUCUGCAGCUUCCACCUAGCCGGCUUCGACCUCGACGAAAAGUCAAGUGUGGAACUUGGGCCCCCUUACGACCCUGCUGUGAGGAAGGGGACGGCUUCAACCAUGAAUGUCAUUUCCUUGAGGGUGGUUAGAGUUGGUCCUGAUUACACAUACCCGGUUGAGGUUUACGGUAGGGUUAUUGCGAGGGAUGAGGUUGACUACAAAUGUGUCUACCUGUUCGACCGUCAAAGGGAGGAUGCCCAGCUCAUCAAUUCAGAGAAGGAUAUGUCAGCUCUAACAGGUCCAUACCGGCCAUUGGCUACUCGUGCUUUCAUGUGCUUUGAGCUCGAUUUAAAGAUCAAGGACAAGGGUGAGCAGGAUGCUGAAGUACAGCUCAGCAAAGGCGUAAUACCGUACCAUCACAACCCGUAUCACAAGCGCGUCAUCGACCAGCUACCUAGUUUCCAGAGCACGGUAAAAUUGGUACUGCAACAAGUGACAGGACCGGUGGCGGCGAGCCUCGAAGUCAGCGUCGUGAGAGAAGGGUCCGAUGACCCUAUUGUCCACUUCAACGGUAAAAUAACUGUUGGGACUACUAGAAAUUAUAGACAUCAUAUGGUUGUAUAUGAUAGCAGCGUGCCUAUUGGGAGAUUGGUGAGGGAAGAUGGCUCUCUUGUGUUAAGUCGCAAUCUAGUAACUGUCCAGGGGCCUAUUCAAGACCCCGCGUUCGCGGAUGACGAGCAAAUGAUGCUCUAUGUUUGUUUUCUUGAUGUGGGUUGUGAGAUUGAGGAUGAGGAUAUGAUUAGCCUUGAACCAGAGGAUGAGGAUGAUGACGAGAUUGAGCCUGACAAAGAGGAAGAGGAAAUCGAAGGGGAAGGGGAAGAGGAAGGCAAUGAAGAAGAUAGCGAAGAAGUGGAUGAGGAGGAGGAGGACCCUAAGAAUACUGUCACUCUCGAAUACCCUACACCUGAGACUGUGUGGGAACACGGUUCCCCCAAACUGAAGGUGAAGGUCGAUUGGACUGCCAUCUUUGAUCCGCCGCUGGAAUACUAUUUAACAAGAUGGUAUGCCCUUCCAAAAGGUUUUAAGUCGCCUAAUUAUCGAUUUGGCGGGUUCUUUGAGUGA